GUGACCGACGCCAACAUGGCGGCGCCCAGUGGGGUCCACCUGCUCGUCCGCAGAGGUUCUCAUAGAAUUUUCUCUUCACCACUCAAUCAUAUCUACUUACACAAGCAGUCAAGCAGUCAACAAAGAAGAAAUUUCUUUUUUCGGAGACAAAGAGAUAUUUCACACAGUAUAGUUUUGCCGGCUGCAGUUUCUUCAGCUCAUCCGGUUCCUAAGGUACUGUAUUGCCUAUUAUCUCCUGCUUUUUCCAGCCAAGAUAAAAGUUGACUGCAGAAGUGAUCAAAUAUUUUUGCACCUUUGAUUUCUGAGCCAUUUGGGUUUUAAUUUUCAAACUAGGUUUGUGAUCUAAAACUGUGAUUUGAGAAGUUUUAAUAUCCUGCAGUUCUAUAGCAUUAAUUUUUUAAAACAAAGCUCUAAGCUUUCAAUUGCUUAGAGUAUUUAGAAUUAAAAUUUUUAACAUGAAAUUUUCUAUAUUAAAUUUCUAACAUGAAGAUAAAACUAUACGUAUGUAGUUUUCUAACUGUUUUAGAGAAAAAAAUUGACUAUAAAAUUGU
RNAcentral lists this small RNA (551 nucleotides) under Pan troglodytes (chimpanzee). RNAcentral's name for it is "processed transcript". The record is from RNAcentral. Lineage: Eukaryota; Metazoa; Chordata; Mammalia; Primates; Hominidae.